GAUGAAGAACGCAGCAAAAUGCGAUAAGUAAUGUGAAUUGCAGAAUUCAGUGAAUCAUCGAAUCUUUGAACGCACAUUGCGCCCGCCAGCAUUCUGGCGGGCAUGCCUGUUCGAGCGUCAUUUCAACCCUCGCAGCCCAUCUGGGCAGCGGUGUUGGGGACCGGCACCACCGGCGAAGCCCUUAGGGGCCCAGCCGGCGCCGCCCCCGAAAUACAGUGGCGGUCUCGCUGCAGCCUCCCUUGCGUAGUAGCACACCUCGCACCGGAGCGCAGCGCGGCCACGCCGUAAAACCCCCGACUUUCUGAGUUUGACCUCGAAUCAGGUAGGAAUACCCGCUGAACUUAAGCAUAUCAAUAAGCGGAGGA
This 365-nucleotide unclassified non-coding RNA is filed under the name soil metagenome. RNAcentral's name for it is "partial contains 5.8S ribosomal RNA, internal transcribed spacer 2, and large subunit ribosomal RNA". The stretch from base 1 to 120 matches the Rfam family "5.8S ribosomal RNA", at positions 35 to 154 of the family's 154-position model. The record is from RNAcentral.